This is a long non-coding RNA of Alosa sapidissima (American shad), 455 nucleotides long. RefSeq lists it as uncharacterized. The record is from RefSeq and is a predicted model, not a curated record. Lineage: Eukaryota; Metazoa; Chordata; Actinopteri; Clupeiformes; Clupeidae. The transcript has 3 exons.
UCAUUAAUGCUGAAGAAGGAAAAGAGUCCUCUGAUAUUGCUGAAAAUGCAUCUUACCAUGGACGAGUGAAGUACUUUUGGAAGUAGAAGAACAACAAUAAGAACAACUGCACAUUAAAACUCACUGAUGUGAAGUUGACAGACAGGGCUGAUUACAGGGCAAGAAUUAUAACUGGCAAGGACAAAUGGCAGAGCUGUAAUGCUGUACAAUUGUCAGUCACAGACCUGACCGUUUCGAUCCCCACACCUGUGAUGAAAGGUCGUCAGGUGAAGCUGAGCUGCAAUAAGGGCUGCAGAUUGAAUAGCAACCCCACAGUGGUAUGGAGAAAGAAUGGAGAAGAGUUACCUGGUGAACCAACAGACAACUCUGAGCUUCUCCUCCAGAGAGUCAGUACUGAAGAUGAGGGAGGUUAUUCCUGUGCUCUAAAAGGCCAUGAGGGACAUCCAUCUCCUCCA